Molecule: ribosomal RNA, 301 nt
Filed under: uncultured bacterium
Lineage: Bacteria
Description: partial 16S ribosomal RNA
Rfam family: Bacterial small subunit ribosomal RNA
Source: RNAcentral
CAGUAGCCGCGGGAAAACGGAGGGGGCUAGCGUUGUUCGGAAUUACUGGGCGUAAAGCGCACGUAGGCGGCUUUGUAAGUUAGAGGUGAAAGCCUGAAGCUCAACUCCAGAAUUGCCUUUAAGACUGCAUCGCUUGAAUCGCGGAGAGGUGAGUGGAAUACCGAGUGUAGAGGUGAAAUUCGUAGAUAUUCGGAAGAACACCAGUGGCGAAGGCGGCUCACUGGACGCGUAUUGACGCUGAGGUGCGAAAGCGUGGGGAGCAAACAGGAUUAGAUACCCGAGUAGUCCCUGUCUCUUAUAA